Moniliophthora roreri MCA 2997 is the source of this 93-nucleotide transfer RNA. It matches the Rfam family "tRNA". Rfam says of the family: Transfer RNA (tRNA) molecules are approximately 80 nucleotides in length. Their secondary structure includes four short double-helical elements and three loops (D, anti-codon, and T loops). Further hydrogen bonds mediate the characteristic L-shaped molecular structure. tRNAs have two regions of fundamental functional importance: the anti-codon, which is responsible for specific mRNA codon recognition, and the 3' end, to which the tRNAs corresponding amino acid is attached (by aminoacyl-tRNA synthetases). tRNAs cope with the degeneracy of the genetic code in two manners: having more than one tRNA (with a specific anti-codon) for a particular amino acid; and 'wobble' base-pairing, i.e. permitting non-standard base-pairing at the 3rd anti-codon position. Lineage: Eukaryota; Fungi; Basidiomycota; Agaricomycetes; Agaricales; Marasmiaceae. The record is from Rfam.
GCCCGCCUAGCUCAAUCGGAUAGAGCGUCAGACUCUUAAGGCGGGAGCUUACAAGAAAUCUGAAGGCUGCGAGUUCGACCCUCGCGGUGGGCU